Dama dama (fallow deer) is the source of this 2237-nucleotide long non-coding RNA. RefSeq lists it as uncharacterized. The transcript is spliced from 3 exons. Lineage: Eukaryota; Metazoa; Chordata; Mammalia; Artiodactyla; Cervidae. The record is from RefSeq and is a predicted model, not a curated record.
CCCAUCCUGACCAAUGAAACAUAAGAGGAAGAGUUCUAAAGGGUUUCUGGGAAAGGCUUCCUAUUCUAAAGACAGAGGCAAGGAUGAGAUUCUGUUUGACCUCUAGAUUUUGUCCAGUCUGUAUGGGAUACCAGGAAUAAUUUGCAACUAUCUUGUGAUCUUAAGGAAACCCAGCCCAAGGAGCAAGUCCACGUGCAAAAGCUGGUGAAGAGGAGAAAAGGAAAGAACUGGAAUCCUUGGUGACACUGGUGAUCUACUCUCACAGCCAUCUCUGGAAUCCACUCUUCCACCGAGCCUCUUCCUAUGUGAUGGACUUCAGGCCUAUCAUGGUGCCUGGCACACAGAAGACAUUCAGCACAUGUUUGGAUCAAUGAAGCAACUUGUUCAAGUCACAGCUCGGAGCAAGGGGCAAAGUGACACUCCAGGCCAUGACUGUCAGCCCCGUGCUGCUUCCUCCAUGUCACCAUCUCCAUCUUCAGUCACUCAAGUGGGCUCCAAACACAAUCACAUGUAUCCUUUGAAGAGGGAGGCAGAGGGAGAUUUGACACACAGAGAGAGGAGGCGAUGUGACCGCGGAGGUGAGAGAUUGGAUUGCCACAGCCACAAGUCCGUGAUUGCUACUGGAAGCUGGAAGAGGCAAGAAACGGGUUCUUUCCUUCCUUAGAGUCCCUGGAGGGAAAACCACUCCCCAUUCCUUGAUUUCAGCCCAGGGAUACUGAGAUCAGAAUUCUGGUUUCCAGAACCACGAGGGAAUAAAUUUCUAUUGUUUGAAGAGACCCAGUUUACGGUGACUUAAUACGGCAGCCGCAGGAAACUGAUACACCUGCUUUGGGGGAUGGCUCAGAAACACCUCAGGGUCUGCAGUCCUCUGACCUCUGCCAUCUGGGGGACCAAAAAGGGGUUCCUGUGGCCCCUGUGCCUGCAGCGGAAACAGAGGAGGAGGCCGAGCUGCACCAGCGUCAGUCUGAAAGGUUUUUUGAUGUGGACUGUUUUUAACAUAUUUAUUGAAUUUGUUACCAUAUGGCUUCUGUAUUAUAUUUUGGUGUUUUGGCUGUGAGGCAUGUGGGAUCUUCGUUCCCCGACCAAGGACUGAACCUGUACCCCCUACACUGGAAGGCAAAGGCUUAACUACUGGACUGCCAGGGUAGUCCCUGAAAGAGGUUCCAGUAAUCAGAGAUCGAAAGCCAUCCAUCUAGGAAUCCUCAUUAGGCACCUGCUAUGUGGCAGACCGGCUGGGACCACAGAUCUUGGUGUGGAUGGCCCUGAGACCAGGUUUCGGGCUGAGCUGCUGGGGUGCAGGGAACCCCAGGCCUGUCCUACUGACCCUGCUCCGGGGUCAGGUUCACGGGCAGGAAGGGCGUGGAACCUGAAAUCUGCAUCUGAAAGCAGAUAACAGGAGUUUGCUUCCCAAGGAGGGUGUUUGGCUCAGAUUUCUCGGGAAGUGGAGACAAGAGCGGGGGGAGGAACGUGGCCUGGAGUCUUGCCUGACCUGGAAGGAAGUGCACAGGGGUCGAGCGUGGAGGUGCCAAGCCACAGGAGGCCUGGGGGGCUGGCAGCCGAGGUGUGGGGUGUGGGCGCUGGACAACCACAGGCGGGGACUGCCGGCGUGGAGCGCACCCGCCGCCUCUACAAGGACAGACGGGGCUCUCCAGAGCUGUGGUCUCUGGUCACUUUUGUGCCUGCUCUGUCCGAGGGAUGGGAGGGCUGUCCCUGGAGACGGAGGGGGCUGCUGGGCCUCUCCACCACUGCCGGGCCUUGACCCUGGGCCUGCGGGUUUCUGGACCUUGGUGGUCACACGACGAUACUCCAAACUGGGGCGGGGAACACGUGUGACCUCUUCUCAGAGGCCGUCCGGGCCACGCUGGACCACCGGGCUGCCCCUGCCCCGAGCACGGAGUUGGAUGAGAGGGGGGCCGUGAUGAGGUCUUCGGCUUUCCGGGGAGAAACAGACCUCAGGGAAGAGUGGGGCGGCUCUUAGCAAAUCAGGAAGAGACAACGGGGAGGAGGUUAGCCAGGAAGCGGGGCUGGCGUACUGGUCAAUGUUCCAGCACGUUCCUGAAAGAGAGCGCCCUCUCAGGGAGAAGUCUCGUCCUGUUCAGCUGCUGAGGGAAGCACUCCGAGCAUGGCUCUAGGCCCUCUCUUCUCCUGUCUCAGCCUCUCUCUGUGAUGCCCGUCUCCUCUCCCCUCUCCUCCCAUCCUUUCUUGUCUCCGUGCAUGGCUCCUUGACCCUUCCUGUC